RNAcentral lists this unclassified non-coding RNA (424 nucleotides) under Senecio parvifolius. Its description in RNAcentral is "partial contains external transcribed spacer and 18S ribosomal RNA". Lineage: Eukaryota; Viridiplantae; Streptophyta; Magnoliopsida; Asterales; Asteraceae. The record is from RNAcentral.
GUUUGGUUUGUUACGGGUGGUUGGCUCUUUGCUUGCGCAACAACUUCCACCUGGCUUACCUCCUCAGUUAUGCGUCAUGACUUGUAUUGUCUUGAGCGUAUUGUGGGUUUCCUGUGUUGCAUACCUUUCUAAUGGUAUCGUGUUGAUUGAUCGAAGUCCCUUUUCAUCUUGUGUUGCUUUUUGCGACGCAUGAUGAACCUCGAGGCGGUCUCUAUGUUCCACCACGUUGAUGCUAGCGUUUUGAUGUUGUGGCCCAUUGAGUGUUGCUUGGUUUCGUGGAUACAGAACAUGAUUUGGGCAUAGGGUUACUUGUGUGACUCUUGUUUUGUCCUUUAUCUGUGUUCUUUAAAACGACGGUUCAUGCGCGCCUAGGCUCGUACCUGCGCGAUGUUCUUUGUCGAAGAGGAAUGCUACCUGGUUGAUC